Molecule: transfer RNA, 73 nt
Filed under: Thermoleophilaceae bacterium
Lineage: Bacteria; Bacillati; Actinomycetota; Thermoleophilia; Thermoleophilales; Thermoleophilaceae
Description: tRNA-Ile
Rfam family: tRNA
About the family: Transfer RNA (tRNA) molecules are approximately 80 nucleotides in length. Their secondary structure includes four short double-helical elements and three loops (D, anti-codon, and T loops).
Source: RNAcentral
GGGCCGGUAGCUCAGCGGUCAGAGCAGCGGACUCAUAAUCCGUAGGUCGUAGGUUCGAUCCCUACCCGGCCCA